Molecule: transfer RNA, 74 nt
Filed under: Ignisphaera aggregans DSM 17230
Lineage: Archaea; Thermoproteati; Thermoproteota; Thermoprotei; Desulfurococcales; Desulfurococcaceae
Rfam family: tRNA
About the family: Transfer RNA (tRNA) molecules are approximately 80 nucleotides in length. Their secondary structure includes four short double-helical elements and three loops (D, anti-codon, and T loops).
Source: Rfam by way of RNAcentral
GCCGCGGUAGUAUAGCCAGGCCAUUAUGCGGGCCUGUCGAGCCCGUGACCCGGGUUCAAAUCCCGGCCGCGGCG